AAGAUCAGAGAUGAAGAUGCUGGAAGAUACAUCUGUAGACAGUUCAGCACAUCAGGACACAUGGAGACAGAUUUUGUAGUUGAUCUGACUGUUCAAAAUGAAAAUGAUGUCAGAUCAAAGAGUAAAACACCUAAACCAACAUUCAAACCAUCUUCUGCAUCAACUUCUGCAGCUGAAUCCACAACAACCACAGGAUCAGUUCUGUCAACAUUCAAACCAUCAACUACAGCAGAUCAUGUCUCUAAAACAGGUGUUUGGUGGAGGAUCAUCUAUGUUCCUGUGGGUGUAGCAGCACUCUCAGUCAUCACUGUAUCAGUCUGGAUCUGGACCAGAACAUGAGGAGCAGAAUGAAGAAGUCG
Oryzias melastigma (Indian medaka) is the source of this 359-nucleotide long non-coding RNA. RefSeq lists it as uncharacterized. The transcript is spliced from 4 exons. The record is from RefSeq and is a predicted model, not a curated record. Lineage: Eukaryota; Metazoa; Chordata; Actinopteri; Beloniformes; Adrianichthyidae.